Long non-coding RNA from Siniperca chuatsi (mandarin fish), 1617 nucleotides. RefSeq lists it as uncharacterized. NCBI's taxonomy places the organism in Eukaryota, Metazoa, Chordata, Actinopteri, Centrarchiformes, Sinipercidae. The record is from RefSeq and is a predicted model, not a curated record. The transcript has 3 exons.
GGAGCAUUGUAGCAAUGCACCUGGGCAAUCACAAAAUUCAAGUUAAAGGUGCGUUAAUGUUAUCUGACACUUCAGCUGCUCUUCUCAAGCUAAACCCAGACAAUGAACAGUACUUUAGUGAUGAAAAGUCGAUGAAUCCAGCUUCUUAAUGAUCAGCUAUUCUGCAGUGGAGAGCACAGGUAGCUGUGAUAAUGAGAGAGAUUGGAUUGGGAAUUUUGUCAUAGCACAGGCUCAGUGAGCUAGACAAAGAGGGAGCCCACACAGGAUUUACAGUCAUUUUAACAAUAUUUGUAUUCGAAACUAAGACAAAAGCAACAAAAUAAAUGAAUCUGCAGUGUGUAAGUCAUUCGUGGUUGCACUUUUCACUUUAUGUGUGGUGAUGUGAGGGCAAAACAAAAAGGAAAACCAAAGACGGUGAUAUGAGAGAGAGGGGGGCAGCCUAAAUAACCCAGGCCCAGGUGCAAGACAUCAGGUUAGAUGGCUCCGCCCAUCUCUACCCAAAGGCAACCUGCAAAGGGAAAAAGCACAAGACAGCAGGAGGAGCACUGUCAGAGUCAGAGGCUGUCACAGAAUCUAAUUUGAUUUGCUGAGGAGAGUGAGUCCAGCCGUCUUACUGAGAGGAGAGUGACAUUGGCACUGUGUGGUAACCUACAGUCUGGCAGCAAAGCCAUUGCCGAAAUUGCCCAAAGCAUGAGAAGGGAGGGGAGGGAGGCUUUGAUGGACAGGCUGAACUCACAGUUACAGGUCAAGUGCAAUAUAUUCUCUGGUGGUCGCAAAUUGAACCCGUUUCACGAGAUGCAGAAUAAAUCCGCCCAUGGAGUUCAGAUACUGGUGGUGGUGGCUGAUGAUUCUGCUGAGGGCGAUGGCUGAAGAGGUUGAUGGAAUGAUGAGCUGAUGGAUCUGUGAAGACUGGGCGGAGAUGGGGAGGUGGAGGGGCGUGCAACCGUGGCACGAACAUACUGAAAGCUGAGAGAGAAUCAUAUUUAAACAGACGGUGGUAGGAUGAUAGGUUGACAGUGAAGGUGUGUCACUGUGCUAUUGGAUGGAUGAGACCAGCUGAUUUGACAACCCCGGAUAAUGACAGCAGGAAAUAUAUGUGAGCAUGCGUGAGAGGAGUGAAUUGCAGGAAGGUAUGAGAAUUACUACACCUAAGCAUGCAGAAGUCUAGUCUUCCUGACUGAACUUUCGCUAGAGCUUCAUUUCAAUCAGACUGAGCAGCGAAGGAGGGACUCUGCUUUGCUGAAAUUAGUGCAAGCACAUUAAUAGAGGGUAAUAAUAAUAAGCUGGUUGAUUAAACACAGUAUAAUUUUCAACUUGUGGACUGCUUAUGUUAGCCUGCUAGCCACAAUUUAUGCUUACAAUCCCGCCUUGCUAUUUUCCUGUUCUGCCUGCUUUUUGCUCCAGCACGCAAGGAAAUUUCAAAAUCUGCUCAGUUCGGCUGUGCCUCAGCUGCCUCACUCGAAUGACAAGCUAACGUUACAAGACAGUUGUGUUAUACAAAGUCAGCAAAUACAUGGACAGCGCAUUUCAGAAAACGCCCCCGGACUUUGGAGGAAGCUAAUGAUGUGUUUUUGUGCACUAAUUGAUUCUCACAUGGACAGCAUGAUCAUUAAAAAG